Molecule: unclassified non-coding RNA, 193 nt
Filed under: soil metagenome
Description: partial contains 5.8S ribosomal RNA, internal transcribed spacer 2, and large subunit ribosomal RNA
Source: RNAcentral
AACGCACGAGACCUGCGGACCUGCGGAAGGAUCAUUACCGAGUUAUCCAACUCCCAACCCCUGUGAAUUAUACCUUUAAUUGUUGCUUCGGCGGGACUUCGCGCCCGCCGGGGACCCAAACCUUCUGAAUUUUUUAAUAAGUAUCUUCUGAGUGGUUAAAAAAAUGAAUCAAAACUUUCAGCAACGGAUCUCU